This is a long non-coding RNA of Brienomyrus brachyistius, 999 nucleotides long. RefSeq lists it as uncharacterized. Lineage: Eukaryota; Metazoa; Chordata; Actinopteri; Osteoglossiformes; Mormyridae. The record is from RefSeq and is a predicted model, not a curated record. The transcript is spliced from 2 exons.
ACACAUGGGCUGGAUGCUUUGUAAGAAUGCCUUGCUGCCUUCCGCUUAGAAAGGAUCGGAGCCACUGUUCCCAGCCAGAUGGCAGCGUUAUGUAACACAACACACCAAGAGAAAAAAAACGCAGAAAAGUGCAUAGCUGGCUCAGUAAGAGAGUCACGAGGUCAUACGUUUCCACUUGAAGGUGCUCAAGCUGGAAGUCUGAGGGGAAUCCCUGUGCAGGUGUGGAGACUCACACUCAGGAGUGUCUGGUCCUGAACUCAGACAUCUGGUCUGUGAAGGUACCCAGGGAGAAAGUCCAACAUGUUUAGUCUGACCUUAUCCUGAUCUAGCCAUCCUCACUGAACCCCCUCCAGGUGUCCUGCCUUCAGCGACCGGAUCACAUGACAUCAAUCAACAACCUCCUGCACCCAUCUAUAGUGAACAGAAGGUUUGCAUAUGUACAGGGAAAAGACCAAUCUGUAAAGUGUACAUUUGGAGGAAUGUUACUUUCUGAGAACCUUACUGAGUUAUUCAGUUAUUUAUAAUGAAUUUUCACCUUACAAGAGAAAUACACUUUUUAAUUAUUCCCGCAAAAAUCAGUGGAGAAGCGCUUUGCAAAAAUUUUAUACCUAAAUUAUUAUUAUGUGUCACAUCAUAUAAUACUUAAAAUAACAAAAAUUUAAAGUGCUUCUUAUAAAAUGACCUCCUGUACAGACAGCGCCCCCUUCUGAGGAGUGUCAAUAAACCCGAGUCACCCGAUUCUCUGUAUUCUUCAUUACUGAGGAGAAUUAGAGCAAGAUGGUAGGAAGUUUCAUAGUUUCAUAUGUUACUCAGUGCCGUUCCCCUUUGAUGACCAUCACACUAUAAUUGUCUCCAUAUCUAUAUUCCAGAAUAAAUUCAGAGAAAAAUUUGCCCGAUUUUAUAAUAGAGCAGCUACAGUAAAGCCCUUUAAAUCUUUAUAGUAAUGCUAAAUUUGAUUAAAAAGAAACACCUCUUAAGAAUAAAAAAUGUUUAUUUAAA